CCUCAGAGUAAUAUUUCAGGACUACAGCAACAGCAGCAGCAAUUGGUUGGAACCCAGUCGGGUAACUCAAGCAUGCAAACUAAUCAACAAUCUUUACACAUGCUAUCCCAGCCCAAGGUUGCACUCCAACAAACGCAGCAGACUGCACCUAAUUUACUGCCAACUCAAGGACAGACAUCCCAGCAGCCACAACAGCAGCAGCAACUGAUGUCUCAGAUGCAAUCACAGCCUACUCAGUUGCGGCAACAGUUGGGUUUGCAACAGCAGCCCAAUCAAGUACAACAAAAUAUGCAGCAGAGACUUCAAGCAUCAGGUCAAACAUCAAGUUCCUUGCUUCAAUCACAAAAUUUGAUAGAUCAGCAACAGCAGUUGUAUCAAUCACAGAGAGCUGUUCCGGAGACAUCAUCAAGUAUGUUUUUGAAUUUUUGCAGUUACAUACUGUUGCUCUUUGCCUUAUUUCUUUGUUGCUUUCUGAUAUUGUGUUAUUUAACUGAUCUCUAAAUAUUUCCUCAGAUAGCCCUGAAUUCUCUUUCCUCUUAUACACCAACUACACAAUUUUCAUAGUUGAUGCUUUUGUUUUGCAUCAACUACACAAUUUUCCUGAAACAUUGUUGUCGCCCUUAUCAUUGUGAGGUCUUAACUGCUGUGACCUUGCUAUCAUGUCACCGUUAAUGCUUUGCUGCAGUAAUUGUGCAACGGUUUUGUUAAACCAUGAAGGAACUACUGGAUUAAUCUAUUCACUUUGACAAACAGUUCUUUCUCCUUCAUUCAUUGAGUUGUCCUAUUGAAUAUAGAACUUUUUUCAGGAAAGAGUUAAAAUUGUUUACCGUGUAAAGGAAAGAAGUGGUCAUGUUUUGCUGGUUAAUUUUAAAAAGGAGAAAAUUUUGCAGUGAGUUAUUGAGCUCAACUAAACAUGUCCAUGCCUUCAAAUUCAUUUCAAAUUUAGAAUAGUCUGAAAUUUUUAGCAGUUUGUUUGAUUAUGUCAGGUUGGUUCCACUCAAUUCCUUUUUCCAACGUUUGUAUCUUUUUUCUUCCUAGUAAUCUAACUUUCAGGAUAUUCCCAACAUGGAGCUCAACAUGAAAUAUAUGAUUAGGAGAUUGCAGGCCUUGAAAUCGGCUUGUUACUGGUUUUGCAUCAAACUAGAGGGUAAACAUGCUUGCAAAUGUUAGGAGUUUUGUUUGGAGAAGGAUGCACAAAGAAUGUCCAGAUAAGCAAGUGAUUACAGCGAGGCAGUUCUUUCCUGCAUGAAAUGGUCUAAAGGGUGUCAAAACUCGAUUGUUUUAGUGGUGUCUUGGCUCAGUUUCACUGCUUCCGCUGAGACAUGAGAUUUGUGCUGCAGAAUUAAUUAAGUUUUAUAUCUGAACUGUACAUCCCUUGUGGCUAAUUUGUUCCACAAAUCAUUUUAAUGCUUAGUCUGAUUCACCCUUAUUAGCUUACCAGAUUUAGCUUUCAGUGGUUUAAUAGGUCAAUAGCAGAAAAUAUUUAACUUAUUUUAGGUCUUCCUUCUCACUUAAACUUACCAAUCAUUUAUUCAUAUUCCAACUGAACUUAGAUGUAGGUGGCAAAUAGUUAGCUUUAAACUAGCCUUGAUAGUUAAGAAUGAUGUUUGAACUCUGACUUGAUCUUUUGUGUAUCACAAUGGAAACUUUACAGAAUUUCUGCUUUAGUGGAGUAGACAUAGAUCUUGGAAUAUCCCAAAAGGAAAAGGCAUUUGAAUGGGAUUGCAGGGAGCAUGCUUUUUAAUGGAUAACCUAAAAAACUUGGAUAUGCAUGGAUAGUUGCAAAAACUAGCAAUAAAACCUUCUCAUAUAUUCAAGUCCAAAAUGUUUAAUGGUUUCUUCAAAUGCUUUUCUGUUGUACCCGUGGUGUGUCUGAUGGAAUCUUAUGACUUAAGAAUUCUUUAUUGACUGCAUUAUGAUCCCUGCGUCUCCCCUUCUAUGCUAUGUGCACCUUAAUUUUCUUUGAGAAUUGGUCAUAUUCUGCUCAAAUUUACCCCUCUUCCAUAAGGUAUUUAUUUCAAUGUUCUUUUAGACAUGCAACAAAAUCAUGUAUUUUUUUGUAUAACCAAUUUUCUUCCAUUUAAAUUAUGAUUUUGUAAUUCUUCUUGCUCCAAAAAUUUUCAUUAUUCUUUAUGUAUCUUCUUUUAGUAUCUUUAGAUUCCACAGCUCAAACAGGACAUUCUAAUGGGGGUGAUUGGCAAGAAGAGGUCUAUCAAAAGGUAAAAACUAUCUUGGCCCAUUCUCCUACAGGUAAUAAUUAUGCUUACAACUUGGUUUAAGAAGGUAAAACCCCUGAACCCUGAGUAUGUUGUGAUGUGUCUCUUUACGGAAACUAUGAAACGGAAGAAUUAGAAAGAAAUUCAGAUAUUUUCUGAUUGACUCGUUAGUUUGGUUAUAAGUACUUGAAUGUUCUUAGAAGAAAGAAAUAAAGCUUAUAAACUUUUUGGUUUCAUUUGAAAGAUCCAUUAAGACGUGUUUGCAAGAAACAUAAUAAAACUAUUUAUAUGAUUUGAGUUUCUAAAAUUUUUUUAAAAAAAAUCUUUUUUUAAAAUAAAACAUUUGGUAUAUAUAGAUUUCAUAAAUAAAAAAUUAAUAAAUUCCAUAAACACAUAUUCAGACAUAGAAACUGUAUAUAAUAACAAAAUGUUCUUAGAAGAAAGAAAUAAAGCUUCUAAACUUUUUGGUUUCAUUUGAAAGAUCCAUUAAGAUGUGUUUGCAAGAAACCUAAGGCCCAAGGACUACUACAAAAGUCUCGCAUGCUUGAUUUAAAAGUAAUCAUCAUUUAUUCAUAUGUUUCUUCUGUAUUUAACUAAAAUCAGUACCGGCUUAUCAGAAAAUUGAAAAAUCUUUGUACUUUUCUAAUAAACCAUAAUUCUAGAUGAAUUGGGUGGUUUAGUUGUCGGCUAACCAUCCUGUUCCUGAUUUAAUGUUGCAGAUCAAGGCCAUGAAAGAGACAUACUUCCCUGAAUUAAAUAUGAUGCACGAGAAAAUCUCUGCCACGUUGCUGCAGGUAGAGGUAGGUUUAUCCUUUCACAUAAUCAAACCUUCAAAGAGUAAUCGAACCCAUCUGCAUGAACCUCUGCCUCCCUUUAUCUCUAACUUGAAUACAGAGAGGACUUCACCACACAUCAGGAAGCUUUCGAUCCCAUACCGCUUUUUAAUUGCGCUACUUGAAUCCCUUUCCUUUAGGCACACUGUUUACUGGUUGCACUUUAUGCUUAUCUGAUGUAAUAGUGGUUUGUUAUUCUACUUGCAUCAGUUAAAAACAAUUCUAUGCAUUCUAUUUUCCAGCAUGAUUCUCUUCCACAGCAGACAAAGUCAGCGUGGCUUGAGAAGAUGAAACUAUUCAAGACCAUGUUGGAGCGCAUUCUAUCUUUCUUAACAAUUUCCAGAGCUGCUAUAGUACCGGCUUUCAAGGACAAGUUGAGUUCGUAUGAGGACCAGAUAGGAAAAUUUAUAAUUGCCAAUAGGCCAAGGAAGCUUGUCUCAGCUUUGCAGCAAGGACAGCUUCUUCCAACUCAUAUGCAUUCCAUGCAGCAGCCUCAACCUGAAAGUAAUCAAACACAAUCUCACGAUAAUCAAAUGAACCCUCUGUUUCCGUCAAUGAUGAGACCAGCUCAGAUGCCGCAAUUGAAGAAGCAAAUGCCGAGGCUACAGCAGCUGCAGCUUCUUCAAAUGCUGCAACAGCGAGGUAUGCACCGGGUUGAUGAGCUGCAGUCACCUGCAAAGAUUAAAACAAAUGAAUUAUCAUAUUUACAUCAAAUAGAUAUUGAUUCUGGAGUUCUUCAAGAAAAUCUCCCUAGUAACCAACUUCCAGGUUAUGAGCAAGCAAGUUCUGAAUACCACGCCCCCGACACUGCUGGGAUUGGUGUGCCGCCAAUUAUGUCAAUACCACCUUUACUUCCAGGGUUUAAAGAAGUUAAUGAUACUAGUGGUAAUGCUUUGACAACUGAUUUUGGCAAGCCGGACAUCGCAGAACAGCCACAUGAUCUCAAGGUGAACAUGGUUAGUAAUUCACAUGCUUUUUUUCCUUUUUUCUUGAUUGGGUUUGAUAGUUUUGUUCAUGAGGAAAUGGGGGAAAUCACCUUGAAAUUUAUCAUCUAUUUUCCUUUCUGAUGUUCAUAUUAACCCUCAGUUGCUGAUUACUAUUUUGUAUGGUUCAGGCAAAACCCAAAUCACUGAGUGCAACUGUGGUGACCAUGGUUGAUGAGGCAGUCACUUCAGUCGGCGAGGAUUUGGCCGCCAUGAGAAAGCAAGGACUGCAUGCAAGAAAUUUCUUUACCCAAACUGGAAUGAGUGGAGCUGAGAAAAUGAGAUGUUAUUUGAGUGCAUUAGUUAUAUUAGCUCUCCUCAUUUUUUUCAUUUUCAACCUCAACCACCAAUAUUAAAGCACUAGAAUAUGCAGGACCGGUUCAGUUCUAUACCCCACCCCCCUAAAUUUUGUUUUAAGUUUAUUUCUGGGUAAAGGAUGAAAGAUCUUUUUAUUACCAUUGGUUUCUCUCUUUAUAAUAAUAAUAAUAAUAAUAGUAGCCAGGGAACUUGUUCCCUUGUAAUCCAUUAGAUGUCCUGAUAAUUUAUCUUCUUAUUCUAGCUUGAGAAAUUAUAUAUAUUUGCGUACCAAACCAUCAUUCGAAUAUCUAAAAUAUUUGUGUUUGUCAAUGUUUUCCUACGAAUAUAUUGCUUUUUUUAAUAAAUUUUAAUAAUUCAAAUUGUCUGUGUAAUUAUAAGCAUAAUCUAGUAUUAAAUAAUAAGAUUUUUUAUCUAUAAAUUUGGAUAGUUUAAAUUAUAAAUUAUAAUAAAAGUGUAUUUCAAUAUAAAUAUAAAAUGCAAUUUAUUUAUUAAAUAUUAUCCAUUCUAGUAUUUUAUUUAGUUUUAAUAUAAUAAUUUAAAUAUUUUUUAUAAUUGAAUUUAUGUGCUAUUUGUUAAACUAAAAAAUUGAGUGUUGUAAAUUUAAGUAUUAUAGUUAAGUUAUAAAAUAUGUUUUGGUGUGUUCUACAUUAAGUGAUAAGUUGUUUCUUAGCUACUUAUUACCUUGUUCUUUAACCUAUUACUCUUCAAAGUCUUGAAUUAAUAUAGAUUCUUAUUUGUCAUAUUAAGAAGGUUUCGAAGUAUUAUCCAUUGACCCCAACAAUGACUGGUAUUUUCCCAGGUGGGGUCUUAAUACUUUGUGUGAAUUGUGAAUUUAGUACUUCUACUUUAAUUUGAUCAAUUUGAGUCCUUGUAUUUUUGAAUUUUGAAUUUUUUAAUUCUGACCCAAUAAUAAUAAUUAAAUUUGUUUGAUUAAAUUAUGUUAUUAGUCCUAUAUUAAUAUGUGUACAGUUAUAGAUUUAGUCUAUGUUCACCAAUUGGAUCAUUUUUAAUGGUUAUAUUUUUUGAAUUUCAACAUUUUAGUCUUAAUGCAAAUGAUUGAAUUUCAACUAAUAUGUGAAAAAAAUAUAUAGAAUUAUACAAGUGAUAAUAUGUUUGACACAUCAAAAUUUAAAAAUAACAGAACUUAAGUUAAUGAAUUUAAUAUUAUCAUUUGGUUAGAAGUUAGAACAAAAUUUUAAAUUCUAAAAGUAUAGGGACUGAAGAUGAUCAAAUCAAAGUACAGGUACUAAAUCCACAACUUACACAAAGUAUAAGGUCUAAUAGCAUAAUUUGACCAUAUUUUUUUAAAUAAUAUCAAGCAAUCACGUAAAUUGAUCAAUAACAAUACAAAAAGGAAAAAAAUGCUAUUACAUGUUCUUAAUUGUUUCCCUUUGUCUUCUCAUGUUCUUGAACCUUUUUAUUACCUUUCAUUGAGCAAAAAGAACCAAUUUCUUCGCUUUCUUCUUUGUUUCUUUUAUCCUUAAAUUUUACCACCAUAUUUUGGCUCGUAUCAGUUUUUAAGCUUAUCUAAGAAGGGUUGAAUCAGAUUUCAGAUAUAACAUAACUUCCCAUUAAUAGCUUCUCUACUUCUCUUCCCUUUUAAUCUUCCGUUUUCUUUUCAGCCUAACAGAUAGGAUUCUCCAAGCCCCUCUUGUUUUCGAGUUUAGGUAAAAUUUUCAUUAUCUUUUUUUUAUAGGUUGCUCUCCAACAAACGCAGCAGACUGCACUUUGAUUUAUUGCCAACUCAUCCCAGCAGCAGCAGCAGCCCAUGUCUCAGAAUGAAUCAGAGCUUACUCAGUUGCAGCCCACCAUCAUCAAGAACAGCAAGAGACAUCAUCAAGUAAGUUUUUGAAUCUUUGCUGCUCUUUGAUUUGUUUCUUCGUUGUUUUCUCAUACUGUGUUAUUUUAAUUAGUGCCGUGAAUUCUUUUUCCCCGUAUAGUCACCACCCACUAUACAGUUUUCUUUUAGUCCAUGUUGUUGCUUUGCGUUUCAUUUCUACUAUAGGAAGUAAUUUUCUUUCCAACUUGAGGAGAUUACGAGAAUCUUUUUGUUAGAAUUGUGUGACCCAAAUUCUAAGAGAUUGCUUGCAAGUCAAGUUAAACAAAAAUAUAUUUUCUUUCUAGAAGAUUUAGUAUUUAUUAGUAUAAUAUAUUUAGCAUUUAUUAGUAUAGUUUAUUUGACUUACUAAUUUAGCCUAUAAAUAGGCUCCUUUACAAUCUUAGAAUUAAGUGACACCCAUUAGAUUAGAACUCAUAACACAUUCAGAGAAUUUUGUGUUUACGUUUGAGGGUUCUUUGUUUUUCGGGUUUUCGGGGUUUAGUUUUUAUCUCCAUCUUUUGUACUCUUCAUUCUUUUGCCAUUAUAGUAAAAUUAUCUUUGCCCGUGGUUUUUUAUCCUCUUUUGAGGGGUUUUUCCACGUUAAAUUUGUGUGCUCAUCUUCUCAAUUUCUUCUACUAUUUUUACUUGUUCGUUGCUUAAUCGGGACGAUCCUAACAAGUGGUAUCAGAGCUAGUUUAACUUUCAUAGAUCAGCCCGGUCAGAGAUGGCAGCAACAAGGUUUGAAAUUGAGAAGUUCGAUGGUGAGACAAAUUUCAAUCUGUGGCAAGUUCGGAUGAUGGCAAUUCUAGUUCAAAAUGGCUUGAAAAAGGUUGUUACAGGGAAAAAGCUUGAGAAUCUAAAUCAAACAGAAUGGGAAGAGCUUGAUGAAAAGGCCUUGUCUGCAAUCCAGUUGUGCCUCGCGAAUACAGUAUUGCAGGAGGUAUUGAUGGAGAAGACCUCAUUCGCCUUGUGGAAAAGGUUAGAAACUCUUUAUGCGACUAAGUCUCUGGCUAACCGUUUAGUGUUGAAACAACGUCUAUUUACGUUUCGCAUGAACGAAGGUGAGCUUCUUAAAGAUCACAUCAGUCAAUUCAUUACUCUUUUAAAUGAUUUAAAGAACGUUGAGGUUCAUAUUGACGAUGAAGAUCAAGCUAUGCUAUUAUUGUGCUCUUUACCCUCUUCAUACAAGUCUUUUAGGGAGACCCUGAUUUAUGGCAGAGACAAACUCUCAUUCGAAGAUGUGAAGGGUCAUUUGUUGAGUAGAGACAAACUCGACAAUGAGUUUGAUUUGAAUAGCAAAGCAGAUAGACAAGCUUCCGUUUUGGUAGCAUCAAAGAAACGAGACAAAAGGUGUCGCUAUUGCAAAAAGUUAGGUCACGUCAAAGCAGAUUGUUGUAAACUGCGAAAUAAAAGAGCUGCUGAGAGUAACGAGGAAGAUGUAGCUGGUGCUAAUUUGGUCGAUGAAGGCGGUGAUGAUUUCUUGUUAGUGUCAACGAGCGAUAACUCCAAGCUUACGUCUGAGUGGAUCCUAGAUUCAGGAUGUUCUUUCCACAUGUGUCCCAAUAGAGAAUGGUUCUCCACAUACAGUUCAUUUGAAGGUGGAGUUGUGCACAUGGGAAACGAUUCAUCUAGUAAAAUAAUCGGUAUUGGUACUGUUAAAAUUAGGAUACACGAUGGGACGAUUAGGACACUCUCAGAUGUCAGGUAUGUACCUGAUUUACGAAAGAACCUCAUCUCCUUGAGUAUUUUAGACUUGAAAGGAUGCAGAAUCAACAUCGAGUCGAGCGACAUUAAAGUAUCUCGUGGAGCUCUCGUUUUGUUAAAAGGUAAAAGAACCGGCAGUCUUUAUAUUCUGAAAGGUUCUACAGUGACCGGUGAAAUCGGACGUCCCUCGUCCGUUACGGAGUCAAAGUCAACUCAUUUGAAGCGGAGGCAACUUGGUCAUAGGAGGGAAAAAGGUAUGACCGUUUCGUUGAAGAGAGGUUCUCUUUUGGAUGCAGGUUUUGAAAAGUUAGGGCACUGUAUUCGUAAAAAUCAGACCCGGGUUAGUUUUGAUUUGGCAGUGCACAAGUCGAAGGCUAGAAGUCUUCCACCUUCUAAGCAUAGAUUCGACUCAGUUAAUUCCCUGCAUAGUUCAAGAUAGGCCCGUGGCGGGUUUUGGCAAAGAUGGCAUUGAAAGAAUUCGUGUCAAGGUGGAGAUUGUUAGAAUUGUGUGACCCAAAUUCUAAGAGAUUGCUUGCAAGUCAAGUUAAACAAAAAUAUAUUUUCUUUCUAGAAGAUUUAGUAUUUAUUAGUAUAAUAUAUUUAGCAUUUAUUAGUAUAGUUUAUUUGACUUACUAAUUUAGCCUAUAAAUAGGCUCCUUUACAAUCUUAGAAUUAAGUGACACCCAUUAGAUUAGAACUCAUAACACAUUCAGAGAAUUUUGUGUUUACGUUUGAGGGUUCUUUGUUUUUCGGGUUUUCGGGGUUUAAUUUUUAUCUCCAUCUUUUGUACUCUUCAUUCUUUUGCCAUUAUAGUAAAAUUAUCUUUGCCCGUGGUUUUUUAUCCUCUUUUGAGGGGUUUUUCCACGUUAAAUUUGUGUGUUCAUCUUCUCAAUUUCUUCUACUAUUUUUACUUGUUUGUUGCUUAAUCGGGACGAUCCUAACACUUUUCUUCAACUUGGCUCUGCUCAAAGAUGCUCCUCUUCCGUAAGUUAUUUAUUUCGAUGUUCUUUUAGACCUGCAACAUAGUGAUGUAUCUUUGUGCAUAACCGGUUUUCAUUCAUCUAAAUUAUGUUUUCCUUGUUCUUCUUGCUCCAGAAAGUUUCAUUUUUCUUAUGUGUGCAUUGUUUAUGUUAUGUUCUUUUAGCAUCUUCUACAGAUUCCACAGCUCGAACAGGACAUGAAAAUGGGGGUGAUUGGCAAGGAGAGGUCUACCAAAAGGUAAAAACUAUCUUCACACGUUCUCCUAUUCAUAAUAUUAUGCUUACAACUUGGUUUAAGAUGAUUUUGAGUAGGAAAGGGUACUGAGAGAAUAUUAGGUUAUGGUAUGAUCUGUUUAUGUUGAGAUGCGUCUCUUUACAGGAACUAUAAAACGGAAGAGUUAGAACUCAAAAGGCAAUUUGGAAAGGAAUUUCAGGCAUCUUCUGAUUGAUUUAUUAUUUUGUUAAUAUGAACUUAAAUUUUCUCAGAAGAAAGAAAAUAAAGCUUACUUAAGCCCUUCAGUUAUUUCUUCUGUUAUUAACUAAAAUCAGUGCCAGCUUGUCAGAAAAUGGAAAAAUCUUUUUACUUUUUUCUAAUAAACCAUGAUUCUAGAUGAAUUGAGUGGUUAGGAUGUUGGCUAACCAUUCUGUUCCCGAUUUUAUGUUGCAGAUCAAGGCCAUGAAAGAGACAUACUUCUCUGAAUUAAAUGAGAUACACCAGAAAUUUGCAGCCAAGUUGCUGCAGGGUAGAGGUAGGUUUAUCCUUUCACAUAAUCAACCUUCAAAGACAAAUCGAAUCCAAAUGCAGGAACCUAUGCCUCCCUGUAUCUCUAAAUUGAAUAUGGAGAGGACUUCACUACACUUCAAGAAGCUUUCAGUCCCAUACCGCUUUUUAAUUGCUACUUGAAUCCCUUUCCUGUAACACCCCUAUACCCCGUCCAAUCGUACGACUUCAAGUAACCUAAAAUAGAUAGAAUUUCAAGAGUUUACAUUUUAGUCCCUAACACAUGGAAACACAUUUGGUCUACAUAUGUAUAUGCCGUUUUAAUUCAAAAUAUGGUACGUACUCUUAAAGCUCUUAAGGAUGUGAUGAGAUGAGAAAUCUCCAACCCGAUUCUACCUCUUCGAGUCUAACUGUACCUACGCGUUAAAAAUAAACGCAUUAAACCGAUGAAGGCUUAGUAAUCACUAGUACAAGAAUAAAUAGGUAAAUGAAUCAUAACAAAAUAUUUUAAACUUAUUCAAUUAUUACUUAUUUACAGACAUAUAAGUUUCUUCAGCUAUGCUUACUUUAAUAAAAAUUUAACUUACCUUUUUGUAAGUUAUCAAACUUACCUUAACACAUUGGUGGUUCACUUUUCUUCACAACUUAUAUUUUUAGCCCAAAGUAAACUUUAUAGAACACACCGGAUAUACGAAAAAAAUACAGAGGUGCAUUAUUAUGUACUAUUGAACAGAGAGCACUAAAGUGCUAUACAAAGAACAAGAAUGUGCUAAACGGAGAGCACUAAUGUACUAAUAAUAGGAGAGCGCGCUAAGGUCCUUUAAUGGCAUGCUACUAAUAUCCUAGUAGUUCUAAAUUCCGUCCACUUGGGCAUUAAAGCUGAAUUUCAUAUAUUUAAAUAAUUUACAUAAAUAUUUCGAAAAAGAUUUCUCAUUUCUCCAUCAUCUACAAUUUAGUCCCCAUUUCACAAAUCACAAAUAUCACACAUUUUCCACACAUAUACUUUUACCACAGCAUCAUUACUUAGUGUUCAAACAAUAUACCAUUUCAUAUUCUCCACCUAUAUUUUUCUUUACAAAUUUCAUAAUCUAAUCUUCUUCUUCUUUUUUAUUUACAAAUUUAAAUAUAUAUUUUACAUUUUUAUUCUAAGUAAUUCCAUACAACAAUAUAAGUAUUUAAAUAAAAAUAAGUAGUACUUACAACAAAAAGGUUGAGAUGAUAUUUUCUUCUUCCUUCACUCCUUAGCCUUAUCUUUCCCUUUUUCUUCAAUUAGGUCCCCUACUUUUUUUCUUUCUUUUCAAUUUCAUAUAAAACAUAUAACAUUUAUAUGUUAAAAAAAAAAACAAUCAAGUGACUUUCCUAUACUAUUUAAUAAAAAUAAACAUGUAUGGUAUGAUAACUUUAUCAUUUCUUACCUUAGCUCUUUGAUUUUUACUAGGGGAAUUUCAAAAAAAAAAAAAAAUGAAAGUUUGAAGCUUGGAUGGUUCAACUAUGAUGGUAGGACACGCAGGGAAUUAAAAGAAAAGUUGGAUGAAAAUUGGGGGAAGAUGACUAAAGGCAUGUUCUGCAAUGCUUAAAAAAAACACUUCUGGUUCCAAAAGCGCUUUUGGAAGAAAAGCGGUGCUAAAGAAGCUGUUUUUGGCUGAAACUUUUAUCUUUUCAGAAAUGCUUUUCAAAAGCACUUUUAAAAAGGAAAAGCUAAAAGGGUCAGUUCUUCAUUGCUUUUGAAAAAUAUUUUUUAAAUGUGCUUUUAAAAAGUUUGGUUUAAAAUUUGAGUGUUUAGCAUUGCUGUCAAAAAGUGCUUUUGAGAAAUAAAAUGUCUAUUUUAGACAUGUUAUUAUCAAGUAACAAAAAUACAUUUAAAUCAUUUUUAAAUUAGUUAAUAUUAUUAUAUUUUAGUAAGAAUAUAAAAAAAUUAUUAUAACUUAUUGUUAAUAUUUUAAUAUAUAAAAUAUAAAUUUUAAAUAUUUUUAAGUAAUAAAUAUUAAUUAUUUAUAAAAUUUAAUUAGAAUAUAUAAACUAUAUUUUAAAUAUUUAAAUAUAAUCAUUAAAUAUUUGUAAUUAGUAUUUUAAAAAAUAUUUUUUUUAUUUUUAAUUAAUGAUUUUAACACAUAUGUAAUUAAGCACCAAGAAAAAAAGAAAAGUAUUAUGUUAUUAGAGGGGUGAAAAAGUAAUUAAGCACAAAAAAUACUUUUGAGAGAGGAAAAACUAAAAUUUUUAGCUUUCCUUUUCAAAUAUACUUUUGAAAAGCACAUUUAAAAAGCUAAAAAUUUAAGCCAAAAGUAGUUUGUUCUGUACAGCUUUUCUUCCAAAAAUACUUUUGGAGUCAGAAGUAUUUUUUUUAAGUAAUGAAGAAUUGGCCGUAGUUACAGUUUGUGCACUUUUCUACACCAUUCCAAUAAAAUAUCUCACAAUUUUAAUUAAAAUGGUCAAAUUGCUACUAAGUCCUUAAGCCAUCCAUCUUUUUACUUUUACCCAUAUCAUUACAUCUAAAAAAUAUUCACUUAACUAAUUAUCACUUUGUCCUUCCUCAUCUUUCAUAUUUCCUAGUAUAACUCAUACAACACUUUGGUUAGAUUUCUUUUUAAUCCUUCAUUCAUUUCCUCUACUAUUAUAUGUCUCCUAACUUAAUAUUUUUCCUACUUUGGCCACAACAAUUUCUUUAUUCUUUCAACUAAAUCAAUGUAUCUAUUUUAAAAUUUCCUCUACUACUUUGGCUAAUUACCACUUUUUAUUUUUUAUAUUUUUUAUUAGAUUUAUAUACUUCCUAAUUUAAUACUCAAAAUUCCUACUUAUUAUAUUUCAAAAAAAAUUAUACUAAUUCUUGACUCGAUCCAUCACUGUACCUAAUCCCGAGUUAAAAUGUGGAUGUUACAUUUCCUUGAGGCACUGUUUACUGGUUGCACUUUAUGCUUAUCUGAUGUAAUAGUGGUUUGUUAAAACAAUUCUAUGCAUUCUAUCUUCCACAACAGCCAAAGUCAGCGCGUCUUGAGAAGUUGAAAAUAUUCAAGACCAUGUUGGAGCGCAUUCUAUCUUUCUUAACAAUUUCCAAAGCUGCUAUAGUACCGGCUUACAAGGACAAGUUGAGUUCGCAUGAGAAGCAGAUAAGAAAAUUUAUAAAUGCAAAUAGGCUAAGGAAGUCUGUCUCAGCUUUGCAGCAAGGACAACUUCCUCCACCUCGUAUGCAUUUCUCGCAGUAGCCUCGACCUCAAAUUAAUCAAACACAGCUUCGUGAUAAUCAAAUGAACCCUCAGUUGCGGUCAAUAAACUUACAAGGUUCUAUGCCAGCAAUGCAGCCGAACAACCUGACACGCUCGUUGCAUAGUCCAUUGUCUUCUUUGUCUGGGCUUUCAAUAGAACAGCAAACCAUGUUAAAUUCGCUGCAACCAGGUUCCAAUUUGAAUUCAGGACAGGAUAAGGCUCCAUAAAUAUAUAAAUAAAUAUUUCGGAAAACGAAGUCGGAAGUCGGAAGUCGGAACCAAGAAAAACGACUGAAUCGAAGUGAAGAACUUCGGUUAGGUUAUCGUGGUUGACUUAUAUAAUUGGUCCGUUCGAUCUGUUUUAAGUAUUGUAGUUUGCAAAAGUUUAGUUAACAACAAAUUUUACUCAAUAGAAACAAAUGCAAGAAAAAGUCAUAAUUUGUUAAAUGAAUUUAAGAUAAGUUUGAAAAUUUUAAAAAAAUAGCUUUAAAUUUAUGUUAUAAAUAUAUUUGGUAUACAUUAAAUAUAAUUAUUUUGUUUGGUAAUAAUAAAUAUUGAUUUUUGAAAAUUUUUUAUUUUUGUCUUAUUACUAUAAUAUUAUUUAUUUUAUUUUGAAUAGUUUUAAUAAAAAUUAAAGAUAAAAUUAUUAUUUUUUUAUUUUUGAAGAUAUCUACCUCACUUAACUCUCGCGAUUUAAAAUUAAAAUAUUUUAAAAAUUAAUAAAAUGAGGGAAUAAUUUAAAUAGUUGUGGAAAUAAUUUUAAUACGAUAUUAUUUUUUUAUACACUCGUUUUAUAAUUCAUAUUUUGUUCGAGGUUUGUUUUAAUCAUUUUAACAAUGUCAUUACUAAUGUGUAAACUUGUAUUUUUUUGUUGGAAGUGCAAUGUGCCUAACUACUGUUACCAAUACUUGUUCUAGUACCGCAUGUGCUACCCUUUUGUUCUAAUAGUAAAUCGAAAAAACAAAUAUUAAGUUUCAUUCUAAUGCAAAUUUCAAUUGAUACGGAACAUAUGAGUGUCUAUUAAUUGAUUUCAAUGAUAUAAUUAAUGAGUAUUUAUACUUAAGGUUUGUUUAAUUUUAUUAUUUGAUAUUUACAAAAAGAAUAUAUACAUAUAUCAAAUUUUUUUAUAGGUUAUAAAAAAUUUUAAAUGAUAUAUUGAAAUAAAUCGAUAUUAGUAUUGAUAGAAAACUAAUAUAUCCCUUGAUUAUUUGGAUUUCGAUGCAGUAAUAAUAAGACAAAAUUAAAACAAGGGCGAUAAACAUAGGGACGGUUGUAUUUAUAUAAAAGAUAAUUCAUCAACUUUGGUCUGUCCUCUCUCUUUUAAUAUUCCCUUUUCUUUUGCUUUCUUUACAUACUUCCUCAAGUUUCGAUCAAAAAAAAAAAAAAAAAAACGUACUUCCUUAAGGAAUUCCAUAUUUGCAAAACACAUCCUUCAAGAAUUCUCGAAUCCCAUCUCUGUUUCGGAAUUGGGAAAUACAUUCUUCUGGAAUUCUUGAAGCCGGUCACUGUUUCUAAUUAGGGCCUCCUUAUCGAGGUAAAAAUUUCAAAAAAAAAGUUAUAGAUUUUAGGGUUCUGCUGCUUGAAUAUCCUCAAAAAUUUUACCUGUGAUUAGGUCUUUACUUUCAAGAAUGAAAGAUUUUAUUUUAUUUUUUGAAUAUCAUUGUAUCACCAGUGACAUUGUAUUUACAUAUAUAGUUUCUGCUGUGAAAAAAAAGUAUAAAGCUUGAUUGAAUAUUUGGAUACUCAAUAACGGAAGCAAGCCUCAAAGCAAGUAUUUACAUAUAUACAUUUUUUUCUUUUCUUUUUUUUUUUGUAAUUAAUAAUUUACGCUAAAAUUCUACUUAAAGGGGCUGUUUUCUUCGGGAAAUUGUCUAAAAAAAAAUAGCUGCAAGAGUUUCAGUUGCUUUUUUUGGUUAGAGGGCUCAAAUUUUCUAUAACGGUGAGUCUAGGUAGCAUUCUCAGAAGCCAACUAACAAUUUAAUUCUUUACUGAAUAGCUAUUACUUGAAUAUAAGCAUUGCUUGCCAGUGAUAUGCGCUGGGCUAGUGGGGCAAACAGAGAGAAAGAAAAUGGAAUCUUAAAAAGAUCACCUUGUGUUAGUAUUAAUCAACCAAAUUGAUGUUCGGUUUGUAAAGUUUUGGUUUACAUCGGGAAAGAUCAUGUUCAACUUCAAUCAUGGUCUUAGGGUGUCUCUGAGUGUCUAAUAGCUUGCCGUCUUUUUGUUAGAACUUAAAUGUUGCUGCAAAUGAUGUAAACUGUCCCCCAUGUGUUACAAGUUACAACAUUACAGUACAUUCUGCUCUUAUGUAUGGAUUUAUUCUUUUUGGUUUCUUUGGGAGGGAAUAAGGAGAAAUUUUAACAAAGUCCGUGUUUUCCCGAGGCUCUUACCAGUAGUAGAAACUUAGAAUGGGGAGGGAAGUAUUACUGAAAAGAACUUUGCCAAACGUUUUUCAUAUUUGAGGAGUAACUUAUUUCAAAUUGACUAGUUUCAAUUUAUGACUAGGGAAAUUCGGAUUGAAUAUGUUUGUGACUGUUGUUUUCUCUUUUGCUCUUUUCAGAAUUUCAUGGAUACGAAUAACUGGAGGCCUACUCCUCCUAGUGGAGAGCCCAGCAUGGACAGUGGUGAUUGGAGAACCACUUUGCAGCCUGACUCACGACAAAGAAUUGUCAACAAGAUGUAAGUCAAUUUUAUGGUAUAAUUCUCCAUUAAAUAUACUUGUUAAGUUGCUGAAAUCCUGUGGCUUGUUGUAUGCAGUGAGAAACAAUAGCAUCAAUAAAAACAUAUUUCUUAUUAAAAUGGACCUGUUUUGUUUAGUAACGCUUCAGAAUCAAAGCUUGCUUUACCCAUAGUUUGGGGUUACACUAUGUUAGCCACGUAAAUUUAGCUUAAUGUAGCUAAGCUAUUUCGUCCAGGUCCAACUGUAUCUGCUACACUUGGUAUCAUUAUUUAGUUAACCAUGUGAUUGAAUAAAGAUGCAUUCUUCUUUUAGAUCUUUCUAUCCUUGCAAGAUUUGGUGGUUCUUUUCUGUUCUCAGUGAUGAAGUUGUUUCUCUUAUUAAAUAACUUAUUGCUAUAAGGUACACUAAUGACCUUGUCUUUCUACAACAUUCUCUGAACUAUGGUAAUUAUGAUGGUAUGUGGUCUAUUUGAAUGUAUUUGGUAUAUGAAGGCCAUGAUGACUACUUUGUUUAUAUUGGAAAGGUUUUGUUAAGUUCAAGUGCUACGGCUUUGGAAUUAAAUGAAGGAUGUCCUGAACAAGUUAAAGAGGAAAAUCUUAGCUCGCAUUCUUAGCAUUUAUUAUAUACCAAUUGAAGAUUCCUACGUAUAUCAUAUUUCUUUGUCAAUAACUUAAACAAUGUUUUGCGCACAUAGAAUGGAUACAUUGAAGAGGCAUCUUCCAUUUUCUGGGCAAGAGGGUUUAAGUGAACUUAGGAAAAUUGCUGUGAGGUUCGAGGAAAAGAUUUUUACAGCUGCAAGCAGUCAGGUAAUCCUCAAAUGUUAGCAUUCCAUAAUGUGCUUGGCUGCAUUUUUCUUUACCAAUAUUUAGGUGUGUUUGCAUUGUGUCUUCGUAUUUGUAUUAUCUGUUUUUUCUUAUUCAUAUGCAUGGAAGAAAUCUGGGAAGGAAAGAGAGAGGAGAGGGAAAAACUAAAGAUGCUAAAUGCUACUCAAUAUCAAGCAUGAUUAAUUUAAAUAUUUGAGAAUCUUGUAUUAGAAUAGUAAAGAAACUUGUUUAACACCGCUAUGGAUUUCCAUAUUCAGACUGAUUAUCUGAGAAGAAUAUCGUUGAAGAUGCUUACAAUGGAGACCAAGUCUCAGAAUACCAUGCCCAACACUGGGAAUAACAGCAAACCACCUGAUCCAGGUAACAGCAAGAAAGAGAAUUUGCUUUGAUGUACUAUAGUAGUAGGGUACUUUCCCUUCGCAUGUCCUUUCUAUUCUUCUACAUGCAGAGUCGUUUAAUGUUUAACAUGUAUCGACAUUUGCUCUAGUUAGUAUUUUAGUGAACAUUUUCUAUUUUUGUACCCCUUUUGUCCCCAUAAUGGUAGCGUAUUAAUACUUAAACUAGUUGGGUAUUGUUCAAGUGCCCUCACCUGUUUUAGGUCUAGUUAUCUUUUUGAAUGUUUUAAUUAUUAAUUUGGUUUUUGUUAUCUUGUUUUAAAUGCUCUUCAAUUCUUUUCUUCUGGCUCUUCCCCUACUCUUUUUGAACCAAAAAUAUCGGUGGUAGGUUCUCAGGGCAUGCAGAACCAAGUUCACAGUCAAGGACAAUCAGUUCCUAUACCAUUACAAUGUAAUCAGUCUCAAGCACAUCAACAACUGCUACCCCAGAGUGUUCCGAAUAACAUGGCAUCUGCUGGAGUUCAGAGUUCUGCUGGUUUACAAUCUGGAAUGCCUCCUGUAUCUGGUCUAUCUCAGAAUCCUAUAUCUAAUGUUGUUGGACAGAAUUCCAACAUCCAGAACAUGUCUGGAAUUUUGCAGAACUCAAUGGGGCAAGGAAUGCCUUCCAAUAUUUUUGCUAAUCAGCAGAGGCAAAUGCAAGGAAGGCAGCAGGUGGUUCCUCAACAGCAGCAGCAACAGCUAUAUCAUCAGCAGCUGCAACAAACACUUAUGAAGCAAAAGAUUCAACAGGGGAAUCUUCAGCCUUCACUCCUGCAGUCUCACGUACAGCAACAGCAGCAGCAAAACCUAUUACCUCCUACUCAGUUGCAAUCUUCCCAGCAAUCUGGUAUGCAAACAUCAUCCAUUAUGCAGCCAUCAGCCAUGCAGUCAACUCUUCCUGGUCUUCAACAGAAUCAGCAAUCUUCUCUCCAACAGUCGACACAGUCCAUGCUUCAGCAGCAUCAACAGUCAGUUCUUAGACAGCAGCAACAGCCACAACAGACCACCAGUGCUGGUAUUCAUCAACAACAAACACCAAUGACACAGCAGUCAAUGAUGCCUCAGCAGCAGCAGCAGCAGCAGAUGAUGGGGCAGCAGGCAAAUGCUGCAAAUAUACCACAGAAUCAGUUAAUUGGACAACAAAACAGUAUUGCAGACAUGCAGCAGCAGAGACUGCUAGGCCAGUCUAGUAAUCUGCAGCAACAACAACAGCAGCAGCAGUUAAUGGCUCAACAAAACAACCUUUCAAAUAUGCAUCAGCAACAGUUGGGUCCUCAGAGUAAUAUUUCAGGACUACAGCAACAGCAGCAGCAAUUGGUUGGAACCCAGUCGGGUAACUCAAGCAUGCAAACUAAUCAACAAUCUUUACACAUGCUAUCCCAGCCCAAGGUUUCACUCCAACAAACGCAGCAGACUGCACCUAAUUUACUGCCCACUCAAGGACAGACAUCCCAGCAGCCACAACAGCAGCAGCAACUGAUGUCUCAGAUGCAAUCACAGCCUACUCAGUUGCAGCAACAGUUGGGUUUGCAACAGCAGCCCAAUCAAGUACAACAAAAUAUGCAGCAG
Molecule: long non-coding RNA, 18218 nt
Filed under: Gossypium barbadense (sea-island cotton)
Lineage: Eukaryota; Viridiplantae; Streptophyta; Magnoliopsida; Malvales; Malvaceae
Description: long non-coding RNA (GBAR_LNC016032)
Source: RNAcentral